AGUGAACGCUGGCGGUAGGCCUAGCACAUGCAAGUCGAACGGCAGCACAGUAAGAGCUUGCUCUUACGGGUGGCGAGUGGCGGACGGGUGAGGAAUACAUCGGAAUCUACUUUUUCGUGGGGGAUAACGUAGGGAAACUUACGCUAAUACCGCAUACGACCUACGGGUGAAAGCAGGGGAUCUUCGGACCUUGCGCGAUUGAAUGAGCCGAUGUCGGAUUAGCUAGUUGGCGGGGUAAAGGCCCACCAAGGCGACGAUCCGUAGCUGGUCUGAGAGGAUGAUCAGCCACACUGGAACUGAGACACGGUCCAGACUCCUACGGGAGGCAGCAGUGGGGAAUAGUGGACAAUGGGCGCAAGCCUGAUCCAGCCAUACCGCGUGGGUGAAGAAGGCCUUCGGGUUGUAAAGCCCUUUUGUUGGGAAAGAAAAGCAGCAGGUUAAUACCCCGCUGUUCUGACGGUACCCAAAGAAUAAGCACCGGCUAACUUCGUG
RNAcentral lists this ribosomal RNA (492 nucleotides) under uncultured bacterium. RNAcentral's name for it is "partial 16S ribosomal RNA". It matches the Rfam family "Bacterial small subunit ribosomal RNA", at positions 29 to 507 of the family's 1533-position model. The record is from RNAcentral.